UGGGGAAUAUUGGACAAUGGGCGAAAGCCUGAUCCAGCCAUGCCGAGUGUGUGAAGAAGGUCUUCGGAUUGUAAAGCACUUUAAGUUGGGAGGAAGGGCAGUAAGUUAAUACCUUGCUGUUUUGACGUUACCGACAGAAUAAGCACCGGCUAACUCUGUGCCAGCAGCCGCGGUAAUACAGAGGGUGCAAGCGUUAAUCGGAAUUACUGGGCGUAAAGCGCGCGUAGGUGGUUUGUUAAGUUGGAUGUGAAAGCCCCGGGCUCAACCUGGGAACUGCAUCCAAAACUGGCAAGCUAGAGUACGGUAGAGGGUGGUGGAAUUUCCUGUGUAGCGGUGAAAUGCGUAGAUAUAGGAAGGAACACCAGUGGCGAAGGCGACCACCUGGACUGAUACUGACACUGAGGUGCGAAAGCGUGGGGAGCAAACA
Molecule: ribosomal RNA, 427 nt
Filed under: uncultured bacterium
Lineage: Bacteria
Description: partial 16S ribosomal RNA
Rfam family: Bacterial small subunit ribosomal RNA
Source: RNAcentral